AUUAGAAUGUAUCACUGUGGUGGCCUUUCGGUGGAGGCUCCAAACUCAUCGUGAACACGGGUCCCGCAGCUCCCUCCGUGUCUCUGCUCUCUCCGUCCCCUCUGCAGCUGUCUGAGGGAUCGGCCUCGCUGCUCUGCCUGCUGUCUGGCUACUCUCCACAGGGGGCGCUGGUUAGCUGGACAGUGGACGGCUCAGAGGUGAAGAACGGGGUUCUGACCAGCGCAGAAGAAGAGAAGAACGGCCGUUACAGCCGCAGCAGCACCCUGACCCUCAGCAAAGACCUCUGGGAAAAGGGGGAGGAGUUCAGCUGUAAGGUCUCCCAUAACAACGUCAAUCAUCCAGUCACGUUCAGAAAGAGUCAGUGUGAAGGCUAGUGGAUCCAAGAUAGAGUUUAACAUAGAGCUGCUUCUGAUCCAUCUACAUUAGAGUUUCAAUUCUACACAAUGCUGACAUUUCUGUCUUUACUCUGUUCACUGCCCUGUUGCUCUUCCUGUAGUUUUUGCUGAAAUAAAGCUGAAUUUUGGA
Long non-coding RNA from Pangasianodon hypophthalmus (striped catfish), 525 nucleotides. RefSeq lists it as uncharacterized. Lineage: Eukaryota; Metazoa; Chordata; Actinopteri; Siluriformes; Pangasiidae. The transcript has 2 exons. The record is from RefSeq and is a predicted model, not a curated record.